UAGGGAAUCUUCGGCAAUGGACGAAAGUCUGACCGAGCAACGCCGCGUGAGUGAAGAAGGUUUUCGGAUCGUAAAACUCUGUUGUUAGAGAAGAACAAGGACGUUAGUAACUGAACGUCCCCUGACGGUAUCUAACCAGAAAGCCACGGCUAACUACGUGCCAGCAGCCGCGGUAAUACGUAGGUGGCAAGCGUUGUCCGGAUUUAUUGGGCGUAAAGCGAGCGCAGGCGGUUUCUUAAGUCUGAUGUGAAAGCCCCCGGCUCAACCGGGGAGGGUCAUUGGAAACUGGGAGACUUGAGUGCAGAAGAGGAGAGUGGAAUUCCAUGUGUAGCGAUGAAAUGCGUAGAUAUAUGGAGGAACACCAGUGGCGAGGGCGGCUCUCUGGUCUGUAACUGACGCUGAGGCUCGAAAGCGUGGGGAGCAAACAGG
Molecule: ribosomal RNA, 429 nt
Filed under: Gemmatimonadota bacterium
Lineage: Bacteria; Pseudomonadati; Gemmatimonadota
Description: Gemmatimonadetes bacterium partial 16S ribosomal RNA
Rfam family: Bacterial small subunit ribosomal RNA
Source: RNAcentral